UUCAAGCCUAUGCGCAGUACAAGUCUAUGCGCAGUACAUAUUUCGAUCUGCUCUUGUUUUUUUCUUCCACUGAUCUACAAGCCUACAUGCAGUACCUAAUCUUCAAGAUUUCUUUUGGUCUUCGAGAUUCGCUUUAAGAGCUUCUUUCAGUCGAUUCCAGUUUCGUGUUUUUGCUCCAGUUCCUGGCCUGAACACUGAUGGCUUCAUAUCUCGGUACUCUCCUCAGUCUGAUGGUACAAAAGCUUCUCCCAACGGUUCUAGAUCCCGUUCAUCUCCUUUCGCUAACCCCUAUGAGUUUCAGUCAGCGUACCAGACGUCUCCCUUUGUCUCGAGAUUUGCAGUGCCAACUACCCGGUUCCAUUCUGGUUUGAAAGCUUAUAUGCUGGUCCCUUCUUUGGGUGGUGGUUGUUUAGAACUCUUCAGAUCUGUGAGUUCAAAAAUUCUUAUUUCUUCACAAGUCUUCUUUGUUGACCAGAAUGGUGAAGUUAAGGGUUUUGUAUCUCAUUCUGUUUGCAUUGUCAAACUUUCUCCCAAUUCCAAUUCUGAAAACGAGUGUUGUUUUGUUUGAGAAGAACCAAUUUUCACCAGUUGGCAUUGAUAUCUCUGAAAAAUCAGUUUCUGUCCUAAGUCUUUAUAGCCUCUUGCUCAAAUUAGGUUCUAGAUUCAAGUGUAUUGGAGAUUCUUAUGGGCCAAUUGCCAGUUGGAUGGAUUCAGCUAUUUCUAGGUUAUUUUCCAUUGAGAUAGAGUCUAAAACUUAUGGUCUGAAAGAAGGUGCGGAGAAGAUUGCGAAAGUUUUUGGCGCUAUUGUUUGGGCCUCGAUUGCUGCGCUUGUUAGUUUCAUUUGGGCUGGUCGUGGUGUAUCUUUGAGUUUACUGAAAGAGGGACUUGAUUCUCUCUAUCUUUCUUUUAGAAAUCUUGAUGAUAAGGUUAUUCAGAUAACUAAAACGCAGGAUGUUUUGGUCAAGUUUAUGCAAGAGCAAUCAUCCAGGACACAUUUCACCAAGGAGCAAGCAGCCAUCUUGCACAAAUUUGCAGUGUCAUAUAUACCUCGUUGUGGUCCUUUUUUUAGGGAAUAAUUUCUGUUUUUGCGAUGUAAAGCCGGUAUAAUUUCUGUUUUUGAGUGAAACUAGGCCUGCCUUUUGUUACAUGUUGGAGAAAUUGUUCUAAUAUUAGAUUUUUGUGGUUUUGGCGUUUCCGCAAUUCCAUUUCUCUCUCUAAAUGUUUCCGAGUGUAUGUGUUUUGCUGAUUAUUUAGUACCCUCCCAUACAUGAUAACCUGUGUUUGCAUGUUGAUAUGUCUUAUAAAUAUUUCACCACAUCCGCUUCAAACAUAUAGGAAAUGAAAUCUUUCUAUAUCUUUAGCAUUAUAUACCAAGCAAAUCUGGCAAAAAAUAUGUUUUGACGAGAUUUUCCCUGUGGAUCAAAGAUGUAAGUUGAUACAAAUCAUAUUAACAUGGUAAAGUGAAGAUUGCAGCUUAGUGCAGGUGAUGGUCAUUAACAAUUCUCUUUUGGCUUUUAGUAGUCAUUCAACUUUUGGAUAGUCUCUCUUCUGGUUUGCAUUAAAUAACUCAUGCAACUUCUGGUUUAUACCAGAUACUCUUUCAACGGCCAGCAUGAGCCUUGAACAGGCUAAAGACGAAAUUAACAGAUGGGAAUAUUGUGCUCAGUCAAAAUCGAGAGUGAGGAGGAGAUGCUAGUUCUGCAAGUGGGUGUACUAAGAUUGAUUUAUUGCUGAAGAAAUAUUGUAAGAAUUGCAGAUUGUAACUUCAACAUGUGUGGGUAACUUACAAAAUAGAUGGAAAAAGUAAUAAGAUCUUAUUGAUUGUUUAGAUGAUUCUGUUUUCAGAACUAUGUUGUUCUUACCAGCAGGAAAGAGCGAAGUCCCUUCAACUACCAACUCAUAUCACCGUUGAUGCCGCAAAAACAUAGAUCACUCCAACUGAGUUUCCAUAGUUACUGUCAUCUGGAAAUCAAGCCACUCUCAAACCUUAAAUCCUACCUAACAAUAGUCUGUCAAAAGAAGAAUCUAAUGUGCUACUUGUUCUGUUCUUUUUUUUUUUUCAGAUUCAAGGACAGUAAUGGCUAGUCUUGGUAAAAUUAUUAUCAUCUUUGAGAGGAGAUGAGUUAAAUAGUAGCUAAUAUCAUAUAUUGUAGAUACAAGUUGAAUAUUUUAAUAAGAGACUGCAUGACCGGUUGAUAACGUUGAUGAAGUAACAGGUGGACUAAAGCUUAUGUAAUAACUCUUGGAUUCGACAUUACCACAGUCUGGCAGAAGGGGAGAACAUGUUAAGUGGCUCCAAAUUUUUCGAUUUCUCGGUGACAGAUCUGUUUUCCCUUCUUAUUAACCAUUAUUGAGAAUUGUUUUUUCGAGUAGAUAAAUCUGUAGUUACAUGAAUCUGGACAAUUGUCUUACUAGAAGAUAAUCUAAUAACAAUAUUUCCUGAUUAUCCAGUUCAUUUGAAAAUACAGAGUCAGUUUUGAUG
Molecule: RNA transcript, 2482 nt
Organism: Capsella rubella
Lineage: Eukaryota; Viridiplantae; Streptophyta; Magnoliopsida; Brassicales; Brassicaceae
Exons: 4
Source: RefSeq, a predicted model, not a curated record